Molecule: ribosomal RNA, 253 nt
Filed under: uncultured bacterium
Lineage: Bacteria
Description: partial 16S ribosomal RNA
Rfam family: Bacterial small subunit ribosomal RNA
Source: RNAcentral
UACGGAGGAUCCAAGCGUUAUCCGGAAUCAUUGGGUUUAAAGGGUCCGUAGGCGGUUUUAUAAGUCAGUGGUGAAAUCUGGUCGCUCAACGAUCAAACGGCCAUUGAUACUGUAGAACUUGAAUUACUUGGAAGUAACUAGAAUAUGUAGUGUAGCGGUGAAAUGCUUAGAGAUUACAUGGAAUACCAAUUGCGAAGGCAGGUUACUACAAGUACAUUGACGCUGACGGACGAAAGCGUGGGGAGCGAACAGG